UGAGGAAUAUUGGUCAAAUGGCCGGAAGGCUGAACCAGCCAAGCCGCGUGAAGGACGAAGGUGCCAAGCAUUGUAAACUUCUUUUGUCAAGGGACAAAAUCAGGCUCGAGAGCCUGACCGAGGGUACUUGAAGAAAAAGCAUCGGCUAACUCCGUGCC
RNAcentral lists this ribosomal RNA (158 nucleotides) under uncultured bacterium. RNAcentral's name for it is "partial 16S ribosomal RNA". It matches the Rfam family "Bacterial small subunit ribosomal RNA", at positions 355 to 509 of the family's 1533-position model. The record is from RNAcentral.